Long non-coding RNA from Pan troglodytes (chimpanzee), 4484 nucleotides. RefSeq lists it as uncharacterized. The record is from RefSeq and is a predicted model, not a curated record. The transcript has 2 exons. NCBI's taxonomy places the organism in Eukaryota, Metazoa, Chordata, Mammalia, Primates, Hominidae.
CUCCUGAUCUCAGGUGAUCUGCCCACAUCAGCUUCCCAAAGUACUGGGAUUAGAGGCAUGAGCCACUGUGCCCGGCCCAGUGUACAAAUUUUUAGGGUUGAUCAUUUCUUCAUGUAAAAUUUGUUAGGAAUAUUUUUACCCCCACUCACAGCGUGAAACAUUAUCUAUCCUGUACUAUAAUUAUUACAUUUACAUAACUAAGUCUGGUCACCUUAAGCACCAUGUGAAAUACUCAAGGGCAAGGUCCAUGUCUAGUUUAUCUUUAGAGCCACCUUUGUCCUUCACAGCACUUAGUACCGUAGAAAGCCCUCAAAUAUUUAUUAAUGAAUGUGUGAAUGGUAUUUUAUCCUUUUCCAAACUCUAUUUGUGUUAGAAGAUCAUAUCAAUCCUUGAUAAGACAUAACAUGUUUUCGAUCCACAGAAAAAUGUAUACUAAUGUGUCAGUCUGUCUCCCUGAGUCACAAAGAUGCUGGAGUGAUCAAAGUCUUCAUUUAUUGGGGUGAAAACACUAAAUCAGUGCUAUCUUGAGGAAAGAUACCAAAGCAUCCAAUGGAUAAACCUUUUGUCUGAAGAAGACAUUUUCAGAUUAUGUGGAAAGGCAUUUUUGAAAAACAAUCUAACAUAAAAGCUAUCAGGAAGAGACAGCUUAACUUUGAUACUUUGCAUAAACAGGGGUCCCAUUCCUAACCUUUGCUCACAGAGUGACCUCCUUCCAAGAUACACAGGUUGGGCCUUGAAAGAAUUAGAUUUCUUAGAAUGUGACUCUUUUACGUCCUCAAGAAAAUAACUACCCGCUUGUUCUUUUCAUUUGUACUAGGUAAGUGGAGGUUUGUUUCAAAAUGUUCAUAGUUUUAGUUAGUGUCACCUAUAGGUAAACAAAAAAUUCUAAACAAAUUCUAAUUUUGAAAGCAUCAAAGGUAAGUUGAUAGUGACCAUAUAUCAUUAUUUGAAAGCUGAAGUAGGCCAGGCACAAUGGCUCACACCCGUAAUCCCAGCACUUUGGGAGGCCGAGGCGGGCAGAUCACGAGGUCAGGAGUUUGAGUCCAGCCUGGCCAAAACGGCAAAACCCCAUCUCUACUAAAAAUACAAAAAUUGGCUGGGUGUGGUGGCACAUGCUUGUGGUCCCAGCUACUUGGGGGGGCUGAGGCAGGAGAAUCACUCGAACCUGGGAGGCAGAGGUUGCAGUGAGCAGAGAUUGUGCCACUGCACUCCAGCCCGGGUGACAGAGUGAGACUCCAUCUCAAAAAAAUAAAUAAAGUGGAGGUAUAAGUGUGAGAAUAACUGUGCCUUACUGUGUUCUCAAUAUGUGUUAAGUAACUGAAUAUAUUAUAACAUGACCACAUAUCCACUAGUAGGCUUAGGAUAUUUUACUUUAUCAGUGGUCCUUUUUAAAUAAUCUUCAGUAAUGUCUCUAAAAAUAUUUUGUACAUCAACCAAACCAUCAUUAUCAUUUCAUACUAUUCAUACUAUUCAGAUACACUUUGGGUAGACAACAUAUUACACAUUAUUUCACACUACUAUAUACUAUUCAUAUUAUACUUUGGGAAGCCAUUUUGUAAGAACAAUUACUUGUAAUGAGAUUUCAUGUCUUUAUAUUUUAACAGUGUCCUAAAAUCCUAGCAUGAUAACUAGGAGAGACAAAGAUCUGCCUAGUUUUCUAAUUUCAGUGUCUGCCUAUAUAACUUGUACUCUGAUUCUUUUUUCCUAUUUUAAUUAUUCUUCAAAGGAAAGUGUGUAGAAGAGUCUUAAAUUUUAAAUUAAAUAACCUCUUAAAAUCAAGUUUUCUAUAAACUUUUUUACAGGCAAAAACAAAUAGGAGAAUCAAAAUAGCUAUGUCUCAAAGCUGUUGUUUAACAGUUUAAUAUUAAAUAAUGAUCUCAACAUAUAAAUUAAUAGUCUGUUUAAGAUUUGUCUCCUCACAACCUUCUGUUCCAGAAAACCAAAUACAGCAAGAAUGAGAGAAAUUGCACUGUUGCAUUAAAAAGAAUUUUCCUGCCGGGCGCGGUGACUCACGCCUGUAAUCCCAGCACUUGGGGAGGCCAAGGCGGGUGGAUCACGAGGUCAAGAGAUCAAGACCAUCCUCGCCAACAUGGUGAAACCCCGUCUCUACUAAAAAUACAAAAAAUUAGCCGGGUGUGGUGGCGGAUGCCUGUAGUCCCAGCUACUCAAGAAGCCGAGGCAGGAAAAUCACUUGGACCCUGGAGGCAGAGGUUGCAGUGAGCCGAGAUUGCGCCACUGCACUCCAGCCUGGCGACAUAAUGAGACUCUGUCUUAAAAAAAAAAAAAAGGAAUUUUCCUCUCACUUUCUUCUCACCACCACUAGAUUAAAGGAGCCCCCUUUUCUUCUGCAGAUGAGAGGUGACAGCGUGCUGGCAGUCCUCACAGCCCUCUCUCGCUCUCAGCGCCUCCUCUGCCUGGGCUCCCACUUCGGCCGCACUUUAGGAGCCCUUCAGCCCACCACUGCACUGUGGGAGCCCCUUUCUGGGCUGGCCAAGGCCGGGGCCGGCUCCCUCAGCUUGCAGGGAGGUGUGGAGAGAGAGGCGUGAGCGGGAACCGGGGCUGCGCGAGGGGCUUGAGGGCCAGCUGGAGUUCCGGGUGGGCGUGGGCUUGGCGGCCCAGCACUCGGAGCAGCCCCCUGCCGGUCCCGGGCAAUGAGGGGCUUAGCACCCAGGCCAGCGGCUGCGGAGGGUGUACUGGGUCCCCCAGCAGUGCCGGCCCACCGGUGCUGCACUCGAUUUCUCGCCGGGCAGGGCUCGGGACCUGCAGCCCACCAUGCCUUAGCCUCCCACCCACUCCGUGGGCUCGUGUGCGGCUGGAGCCUCCCCUAGGAGCGCCGCCCCCUGCUCCAGGGCGCCCAGUCCCAUCGACCACCCCAAGGGCUGAGGAGUGCCGGCGCACGGCGCGGGACUGGCAGGCAGCUCCACCUGCAGCCCCGGUGCGCGAUCCACUGGGUGAAGCCAGCUGGGCUUCUGAGUCUGGUGGGGAUGUGGAGAAGCUUUAUGUCUAGCUCAGGGAUUGUAAAUACACCAAUCGGCACUCUGUAUCUAGCUCAAGGUUUGUAAACACACCAAUCAGCACCCCUGUCUAGCUCAGGGUUUGUGAAUGCAAUCGACACUCUGUAUCUAGCUACUCUGGUGGGGACUUGGAGAAUCUUCGUGUGGACACUGUAUCUAGCUCAUCUGGUGGGGACGUGGAGAACCUUUAUAUCUAGCUCAGGGAUUGUAAACACACCAAUCAGCGCCCUGUCAAAACAGACCACUCAGCUCUACCAAUCAGCAGGAUGUGGGUGGGGCCAGAUAAGAGAAUGAAAGCAGGCUGCCCAUGCCAGGAUUGGCAACCUGCUCGGGUCCCCUUCCACACUGUGGGAGCUUUGUUCCUUCACUCUUUGCAAUAAAUCUUGUUGCUGCUCACUCUUUGGGUCCACACUGCCUUUAUGAGCUGUAACACUCACUGCGAAGGUCUGCAGCUUCACCACGAACCCACCGGGAGGAACGAACAACUCCAGAUGCGCCGCCUUAGGAGCUGUAACACUCGCCGCGAAGGUCCGUGGCUUCACUCCUGAGCCAGCGAGACCACGAAGCCCACCAGAAGGAAGAAAUUCCGAACACAUCCGAACAUCAGAAGGAACAAACUCCGGACACACCACCUUUAGGAACUGUAACACUCACCGCGAGGGUCCGCGGCUUCAUUCUUGAAGUCAGUGAGACCAAGAACCCACCAAUUCCGGACACACAGGGACAGCAAUCCACUGCUUGCCAUGAUGUACGAUUGAAGCCUAUCACCCUUUCUGCAGCAGUGGCUCCAGAGAGCAUCAGUAAAGAUGGCAAGAUUGAAAUCCAAGCAACAGAAUUUCCACUGAAUAGAAAUUUCUGAGGAAAGUGUAAGGACAGGUGUGAGAACUCUGGUGGCAAGGAUGAAGAAGCAUCCCCCUUCUCAAACAGGAAAGAAGAGCCAAGAGACCUGAAAAGCAGCUGGAGCCAAGAAGGUGAAAAGGUGAGAGUUCCCAUUGCAAAUAACAUUCUCUCUGUAAAUAAAAAUGGAAAGGCACCUGCUGAAAGAUGGGAGACCAUGUGUGAAUUUGGGAAUCUGAGUAAUAAUAAAGCUGUUUCUAACAGUGACUGUGCAGUGCAGCACAAAGUUGCCAGGCUGCUAAAUUUGGGUUACAGAAAUUUGUGAAGAUGCCAAUUCAGGUUUUUUUGUUUUUAUUAAGAAGGAUACUAGCAAUUCUUAAAUCUGUCAGAUCAGAUUAUCUUAAAAUUUCUGAAGGCUUUUUUUCCACACAAACAAAUAAAUAUUUAUAAAAUGAACUAUAUGCUCAUACCCUUAGUGAAAAUAUGCACAUCAACUUAUGACUUGUGUAAGUCAAUUACUAAUUCAAUUACUAAUGGGAAAUUGGAUGAACUCAGUAAAACUGUCUCAACUAUGUCUCUGGAGUUUCUUUUUCUAUUACAUGCUAAAUUACAAUAAAACCUUGACUACCUAAA